AGGUCAUGGUCAGUGGGACCUCCAAAGGAGGCACCCCAUUCAAAUUGGAGGCUCUGCAGGAGAGGGCAGCCAGGGCGCAGAGUUCGAAGGCACUCUUGGGGGAGGAGAAGGUGCUGGUGGUGGACAACAUCAUGGCAUGGUCCAGGUGGUGGUUGAGGAGAAGCCUGACAUGGAGCCUGGUGGAGGACCAGCAGACAGCCUGGCCCUGGAUCCAGCACACCCCAGCCAGCCACAGACUCGCUGGAGGCCCUUCACUUGAAGCAGAGUUCCAUGAAUAACCAGUCCACAUGGCCUGCCCACAGCUGAGAUGUAAGCUUUGGCAGAGGUGCCUUCCCAGCCUGGAUGGCACAGGGGCCAUCAGCCAGGGCAUCUCCAGCUUCUGGGCCAUUGUGCAGCACACCUACAUGUCGGCAGAGUUCAGAAACCAUGAGGAAGUCCUGCUAAGUUUCUUCUUGGCAUGGCAGGUGGAGGAACUCAGCCAUCCCAGGUACCGGCAGCAGGAUGAAGUGUUCCUUUUGUCACAACCUUUAUUUCCACAAUAAAGUGAUCAUUAAGGAAUAUCGUGUUCACAUCAAUCCCCUGCAGCACUACCUAAGGAUUAGGUCCUCAGAGAGGGAACAGAG
RNAcentral lists this long non-coding RNA (623 nucleotides) under Homo sapiens (human). RNAcentral's name for it is "non-protein coding lnc-PRORY-3:1". The record is from RNAcentral. Lineage: Eukaryota; Metazoa; Chordata; Mammalia; Primates; Hominidae.